RNAcentral lists this ribosomal RNA (551 nucleotides) under Rinodina pyrina. RNAcentral describes it as "SSU rRNA". It matches the Rfam family "Bacterial small subunit ribosomal RNA", at positions 476 to 1069 of the family's 1533-position model. The record is from RNAcentral. Lineage: Eukaryota; Fungi; Ascomycota; Lecanoromycetes; Caliciales; Physciaceae.
UUUCCUAUUGAUGUGCCUCUGACCAAAUUACGUGCCAUCAUUACGCGGGUAACACGUAAAAGACUAGUGUUAUUCAUCUUUAAUAGGUUUAAAGGGUACCUAGUCGGUAAAUCAAGUCCGAUAAGGAUACUAAUUUUCUAGAGUUUAAUGUGAGGGGGCACUAAAGUACUUGAUAAGUGUAGAGAUGAAAUUCUGUGAUACAAUAUACGGCACUGGCAAAGGCGAAAGCAUCUCAUUAUGUAAUAACUGACGUUGAGGGACGAAGGCUAGGUGUAGCAAAAAGGAUUAGAUACCCAAGUAGUCUUAGCAGAAAAUUAUGAAUGUCAUAGGAUAGAAAAAUAGACAAAAAUUUUUUUUCUAUAAAUGAAAGUGUAAGCAUUCCACCUCGAGAGUAAUUUGGCAACAUUGGAACUGAAAUCAUUAGACCGUUUCUGAAACAAGUAGUGAAGUAUGUUGUUUAAUUUGAUGGUCCGCAAAAAACCUUACCACAAUUUGAAUAGAAAAUUUCUUUUCAUACAAGCGCUGCACGGUUGUCUUCAGUUAAUGUCGUG